GUGUCAGCAGCCGCGGUAACACGGGGGGAGCAAGCGUUGUUCGGAAUCACUGGGCGUAAAGGGCGUGUAGGCGGUCAGGUAAGUGGGAUGUGAAAUGCCCCGGCUCACCCGGGGACCGGCAUCCCAAACUGCCUGGCUUGAGUACGGGAGAGGAUGGGGGAAUUCCUGGUGUAGCGGUGAAAUGCGUAGAUAUCAGGAGGAACACCGGUGGCGAAGGCGCCCAUCUGGCCCGAUACUGACGCUGAGGCGCGAAAGCUAGGGGAGCAAACGGGAUUAGAAACCCCGGUAGUCC
RNAcentral lists this ribosomal RNA (292 nucleotides) under uncultured bacterium. RNAcentral's name for it is "partial 16S ribosomal RNA". It matches the Rfam family "Bacterial small subunit ribosomal RNA", at positions 505 to 796 of the family's 1533-position model. The record is from RNAcentral.